This 72-nucleotide transfer RNA is filed under the name Camelus bactrianus (Bactrian camel). It matches the Rfam family "tRNA". Rfam says of the family: Transfer RNA (tRNA) molecules are approximately 80 nucleotides in length. Their secondary structure includes four short double-helical elements and three loops (D, anti-codon, and T loops). Further hydrogen bonds mediate the characteristic L-shaped molecular structure. tRNAs have two regions of fundamental functional importance: the anti-codon, which is responsible for specific mRNA codon recognition, and the 3' end, to which the tRNAs corresponding amino acid is attached (by aminoacyl-tRNA synthetases). tRNAs cope with the degeneracy of the genetic code in two manners: having more than one tRNA (with a specific anti-codon) for a particular amino acid; and 'wobble' base-pairing, i.e. permitting non-standard base-pairing at the 3rd anti-codon position. Lineage: Eukaryota; Metazoa; Chordata; Mammalia; Artiodactyla; Camelidae. The record is from Rfam by way of RNAcentral. RNAcentral also lists the same sequence under 2 other names.
GAGGAUAUAGCUCAGUGGUAGAGCGUGUGCUUAGCAUGCACAAGGUCCUGGGUUCAAUCCCCGGUACUUCCG